This is a long non-coding RNA of Betta splendens (Siamese fighting fish), 886 nucleotides long. RefSeq lists it as uncharacterized. Lineage: Eukaryota; Metazoa; Chordata; Actinopteri; Anabantiformes; Osphronemidae. The transcript has 3 exons. The record is from RefSeq and is a predicted model, not a curated record.
AGGUGAUUGAGUUCGCGUCUCUGAUCUGAGACCAGCGCUGUUUGAGGGAACGCACGGUUUGGGCACGAGCAGGUGCCACAAAGGAAGAUGAUAUUUGGCUAGGCCCGGAUGGCAACACCAGCCAACACCAGCAGAAGGUGAAGGCAGCCCUCCCUAAGCAGGCGGAGGGACCCCUCCACAGCCUCCAACCAGAGACUGGGUGAUCGUGAAGGAACAUCGCAGGAACCACUGGAACUCCAGGAGCGGCGAGGCCCAUUCCAGGUGCUGCUGACCACCCACACGGCCCUGAAGGUGGCACAACAAGCAACUUGGAUUCACGCCAGUAACUGCAGGAAGGUUCUGGAGCCAAUACGAGAGGCAGCGUUGAGCGUCCAGCUGAGGUGUGAGCCAAGCGCCGCCUGAAGCUGCAUCGGUGAAUCACACUUUAAACUAUACACACGUUGAUGAGAAAACACAUACACGAGCAGCCUGGAGUCGCCACGAUGGACGACGUGUAGACUCUUUGCAUCACCACAUCACCGGAGUGACAGUGACUCAGGCCACAUUGGGAAACGGUGAUAACAAAUCCCAAGUGUCUCUGUUGUCAGCUGAUCACGACCCUAAAAGACUCCGACCUGUGCCAAAUGAAUAGAACUGAAACCUGGGGUUGCAGGUAAACUUGUAACAUCGCACAUAUGCUCACAGGCGAGAACACCCUAUCCACCAACACCUGAGGUGGAUUGAGUUGGAAAACCUGAUUGAAGGAAAAAGAACACACCCACACAACCAUCAUCUAUAUCUUUUGCCAUUGUACAAUAAAAGCAAUUAUUGCGCUUAUAUCUGUUAUAUGUGUUCGAAGUCCAGGGGUUUACUUUGUAAAAUGGAGGUUGGUCUCCUUUAUGAAAGA